AGAGGAGCCGCGACAGAGCCGG
Molecule: microRNA, 22 nt
Filed under: Sus scrofa (pig)
Lineage: Eukaryota; Metazoa; Chordata; Mammalia; Artiodactyla; Suidae
Description: ssc-mir144
Source: RNAcentral